AAAGUAUUCCCUCCUUCCCAAAAUUCUUGUCUUAGAUUUGUCUAGAUACGGAUGACUUGAUACAUCCGUAUCUAGACAAAUCUAAGACAAGAAAUUUGGGACAGAGGGAGUAGUUG
Molecule: non-coding RNA, 116 nt
Organism: Triticum aestivum (bread wheat)
Lineage: Eukaryota; Viridiplantae; Streptophyta; Magnoliopsida; Poales; Poaceae
Source: Rfam